GUUCCAUACACAUAGUAUAUAUAUAUAUAUAUAUAUAUAUUUUUACUGUACUUUUAUUCAAGGAUUUAAGUGCCGUGGCACGGGAUCGUGCGGGAAACUUGCCGGCACGGUAUGGCACGGUGCGUCUUUUAGUUCUUCGGUCAUCCAGAGGUGUAUAUUCUCCGAGCCGUGCCGAUGCGUGCCGGUCAAAAAAAUUCUUGUGUGCCAACGCAUAAUAGCACGGAAUAUUUAUUUUCUUUAGCAACAAAAUAUUCUAACUAUUUAUUAUGUCUUUUUAUCACAUCUUUUGAACUUUAUUGAGAAAAUUACUUACUAAUUUAAACAAUAGAGGGUUUUGAGCUGUGCCAUCGGCACGGGGUCUGUAUCGUGCUGGUAUCUUGUUAGCACAGUGGAUACGGCUCGUGCCGACGGAUACUUAAAAUCUUUCUUUUAAUCUAAUCUCUUGUUUUUUGAUGCAGUCAAAUAGAUUAGUUAGGAUUUACAUUUUUAUUCUUUUUUAGUUUUCGGAAUUAGUACUUGUGUUAAUUUAUUUUAGUGAUUUCUUGGGUUUCAAGAAUUUUUCCAUGUGGAAUAAAUCCCUAAAGAUUAAGGAUAUAAAUUUGGAAGUUUUAAAAUUAUAAUUACACUUAUUUGUUUUAGGAUUUCCAAAAUCGAAGGAUUUGAAUAGGAUUAGUAUUAGAGUUUUCUAGUGUAAUAGAGUCAAGGCGUUUGUCGUGAGAGUUUUUGGUUAAUGAAAAAUCUAUGUUAAAUCUGUGUGAUCUUUCGUGAUGCCUGUGUGGCUGUUAUCUGGCUUGUAUGGCUUACUCCUCUUCUUCCCCUUUCUUCUUUCUCUAUUUUUUCUUUUUUCUUUCC
This 852-nucleotide long non-coding RNA is filed under the name Ananas comosus (pineapple). RNAcentral's name for it is "long non-coding RNA (ACOM_LNC030515)". The record is from RNAcentral. Lineage: Eukaryota; Viridiplantae; Streptophyta; Magnoliopsida; Poales; Bromeliaceae.